GUGACAUCUGCGCCCUCUGCUGCUUCACCUCCCCCUGCAGCAGACAGGCUCCAGCGUUCGACGUCACCGGCCUUCUGACACCACCGUCCAUCUCAUUAUGCAUUUCACCUGUGUCCUGUUUAGCGCACCUGUUCCUCAUCCUCAUCAUCCCCCCCAGUAUAUAUGUUCCCUCUGCUCCCCCUGUCUUUGUGUGUAAUUGUCUCUGUAUACCCAAAGAGCUGGGUUACGCUUUGCUCACCUAUAUUCAUUUAUCAACCAUAUUAAAAGACUGUGACCGUUACGCUGUUCUCCUGCUCCUCCUUGUUCCGCCUGCGAAGACGUGACACCACUGCACUAAUGGUCUCGUGGUAAUAUAUCUAAGCUGUCUUUUUACUAAUAUCUAUGAUAUAUCUCAGUGGUUUUAUACAUUUCCAACAGCAAAAUUAUUAAUGUGACAAUGUUAGAGAUACGGAUAACCUGAUCUUUUAUUGUUACCUAUCUACCAACUACUGAUUUCUUCAUGACAAUAAAAUAAAACCUUCCUAGUAUUUGAAUGUGUGAUAAAAUUACAUUUGGACCACAGUAUGCUACAGAACUUUAUUUGUAAGAGACAAAUGAAGGGUAAUAACUUCUAAAAUAAAUGUAAAGGUCAUGAAUGUGACUCCUGCUUGUCUAAACAGAACAUAUGUAGUGACAAUAUUUUAUCACUACACUCAAAACUGUAUUUUUUCUUUAGAGAUCAAAUAUGUAAUGUAGAUAAAGCACCAAAAAGUACAUUUGAAAACCAUUGAAAUCAUACUUUUUGAGGCAAAUUAUUGGGGGGAGGAAGUCCCAGGGGGAGAAUACUUCUGCAAUCCACGGUAUAUACAGUACCCUAUUUCACUGCUCAUAUAGAUACUCAUAUAGAUACUAUAGCACUUAAGCCUUUACUGUAGAGUAGGUUUGAAGCAAAGGUACUCAAUACUCUCAAACAAAUGAUUAUAAGCUUAACAAAAUAAGCACUAGUACCACGUGAGAUGUAAACAUGUUUU
Molecule: long non-coding RNA, 1010 nt
Organism: Esox lucius (northern pike)
Lineage: Eukaryota; Metazoa; Chordata; Actinopteri; Esociformes; Esocidae
Source: Ensembl